This 501-nucleotide ribosomal RNA is filed under the name uncultured bacterium. RNAcentral describes it as "SSU rRNA". It matches the Rfam family "Bacterial small subunit ribosomal RNA", at positions 26 to 523 of the family's 1533-position model. The record is from RNAcentral.
AGAUUGAACGCUGGCGGCGUGCCUAACACAUGCAAGUCGAGCGGUAACAGGUGUAGCAAUACAUGCUGACGAGCGGCGAACGGGUGAGUAAUGCUUUGGAAUCUUCCCAGUAGUGGGGAAUAACCAGUCGAAAGAUUGGCUAAUACCGCAUACGUCUGUAAAGGGAAAGCGGGGGCUCGUAAGACCUCGCGCUAUUGGAUGAGCCAAAGUCGGAUUAGCUAGUUGGUGGGGUAAUGGCCUACCAAGGCGACAAUCCGUAGCUGGUCUGAGAGGACGACCAGCCACACCGGAACUGAGACACGGUCCGGACUCCUACGGGAGGCAGCAGUGGGGAAUAUUGGACAAUGGGGGAAACCCUGAUCCAGCGACGCCGCGUGUGUGAAGAAGGCCUGCGGGUUGUAAAGCACUUUUAGUGGGGACAAAAGCUACGGACUAACACUCUGUGGUCUUGAUUUAACCCAAGAAAAGCACCGGCUAACUCUGCGCCAGCAGCCGCGGUAA